This is a non-coding RNA of Rana temporaria (common frog), 1527 nucleotides long. Lineage: Eukaryota; Metazoa; Chordata; Amphibia; Anura; Ranidae. The record is from the annotation of a RefSeq genome assembly.
UGUGACAUUUUGUAUAGCAUGAAGUUAGUGAUUAAAUAAUGUGUUACUACGCUAUGGAUGUGUGGGGACCAGGCACCACAAUCACUGUAACGGCAGCUGAAUCGAAGGGCCCAUCUCUCUUUCCACUUAUUUCUUGCGGCAAGUCACAGGAAACGAGCACCAUCAUUGGCUGUUUUUCCAAAGGUUUCCUUCCUGACUUCAUUGACUUCAGCUGGGUAGAUCAGCUCAGCAAUAACUAUUCCACUGGCUUCAAGAAAUACAAUUCUGUGUUGCAAACUGGAGGAACCUAUGCAGCAAGCUCCCAAAUUAAAGUACCAACAGAAGGCUGGGAGAACAAUGAUUCUUAUUACUGCACUGCAAAACAUUUAGAUAAGAGCGAAUCUGUGGUUCUUCAGUUUCCAAAAGUAAUAGGAAAGGAACCAACAGUAACCAUGCAUCCUCCCAUCAAAGAGGAUGUAGAAUUAAACAACAAUGGCACAAUUUUAUGCUUUGCAAGUGGAUUUCAUCCUAAAGGCAUUACAUUUUUAUGGAAGAAGAACAAUGAAGUGAUUCCUGAAGCCGUAACAGAGGAAGCAGUCUCCAGUGCAAAUGGAAAUUUUAUGAUAACUUCCUAUAUUGUAGUAACUAAACAAGAUUGGGAUACAGAUGCAACAUUCUCAUGUAUAGUAAAACAUGAUCCCUCUGACUUCCAAGUAAUGAAGAAUGUGAGCAAAUCGACUGUAUGUGAAUCAAACACACCUGGUGGUGAAAUCAAAGUGACUGCCGUGCCUCCUUCAUUUGAAACAAUUUAUUUCCAGAAUACUGCCCCGCUCACCUGCAUUAUUACAAACAUGGAAACCAAAGAUGAAUUAAAUGUCACCUGGUAUGCAAAUAAUGAAAAAUUAACCAACACUCAACUAGACGACCCAGUAUAUGACAGUUCAAUACGGAGGUACACUGCCAAAGCCAUUGCUACAGUUUGUCCUGAAGACUGGAGAACAAAGACCUUUAAGUGCAUUGUGAGCCAUCCUCAACUUCCCCAUGUUAAAGUUGUCUCAAUGAAUAAACCAAAUGGACACGAUGCCAAAGCUCCAACAGUUCUAUUAUACUCACCACACCCAGAUGAAUUAGCUAAAAAGGAAACUGCCACUCUGUCAUGUAUGGUUAAAGGCUUCGCCCCACCUGACAUAUUUGUCAAAUGGAUGGAUAGUGAUAACGUAGAGCUGUCUCAUGUUGCAACCACUGGGCCCAUACAGGAGAUCACUUCUUCUAGCAAGAAAACCUACUUUCUCGUAAGCACAUUAACCCUUACAAGUGUUCAAGAAUGGAAUAGUGGAAAAUCAUACACCUGCAUAGUUGGCCAUGAAUCACUACCACUACACACCACCCAAAGGACCACUGACAAAACUGCUGCCCUUAUGAUCUAUAUAGAAGAAGAUGAUGAUAUCGAUAAUCUCUGGACCACGGCUUCCACUUUUAUAGUGCUCUUUCUACUGAGCCUCUUCUACAGUGCAACUGUCACUCUUUUUAAGGUAAAAUAAUUGCAUU